UCGAGAUGAACAAGAAGAUUUCACCGAGCAAAUAAACAUUUCAUAUUCCUAACACAAUUUUGAGUAUUAGAGCAUGACAUCUAGAAUAACAGGGGAUCAAACUAAAGUUUGUCCUAAAAGGCAUAUAAAGACAAAUUCUACCGAACAACAGUUGAAAGUGUAAAUAUGAUUUUUCUCGAGAUUCCAGAAUGGUGAGGUUGGAGCUUUGAGGUAGUAUUUAUAGGUAAAAAUAG
RNAcentral lists this long non-coding RNA (233 nucleotides) under Nicotiana benthamiana. RNAcentral describes it as "long non-coding RNA (NBEN_LNC014662)". The record is from RNAcentral. Lineage: Eukaryota; Viridiplantae; Streptophyta; Magnoliopsida; Solanales; Solanaceae.